This 71-nucleotide transfer RNA is filed under the name Ictidomys tridecemlineatus (thirteen-lined ground squirrel). RNAcentral describes it as "Spermophilus tridecemlineatus (thirteen-lined ground squirrel) tRNA". It matches the Rfam family "tRNA". Rfam says of the family: Transfer RNA (tRNA) molecules are approximately 80 nucleotides in length. Their secondary structure includes four short double-helical elements and three loops (D, anti-codon, and T loops). Lineage: Eukaryota; Metazoa; Chordata; Mammalia; Rodentia; Sciuridae. The record is from Rfam by way of RNAcentral.
GGGGUUUUGGCUCAGUGGCAGAGCACUUGCCUAGCAUGCAUGAGUUACUGGGUUCAAUCCUGGGAACCACA